CCCUAGUAAUAAUAACUGUGCUUAAGUAUUUUGGGCUAGUGGUUUUGGCCCAACGAGUUAUUAUAUGAUAUUGGGCUAUGCGUGUGUUUAGGCUUGACAUUGCGUGUGCUUAGAGCUAACGAGGACGUCAAGGCCUAAACGGGGAGAGUCUCCCAUAUCGAAUAGGAAUUGAGUUGUCAUUGGGUAUAUAAGAGACUCCACCUUGAUAAUAAUAACUGGGAUUAAGCAUUUUGGGUCGUUGGUUUUGGCCCAACGAGUUAUUAUUGCUAAUGGGUAGGGUCGUUACAUUACAGAAGGUUUGCUUUAUACAUACAUGCAGGU
Molecule: long non-coding RNA, 321 nt
Filed under: Ananas comosus (pineapple)
Lineage: Eukaryota; Viridiplantae; Streptophyta; Magnoliopsida; Poales; Bromeliaceae
Description: long non-coding RNA (ACOM_LNC015476)
Source: RNAcentral